AUAUAAUAUAAUAUAAUAAUAAUAUAAUAAUUAUAUAUUAUAUAUUUAUUAUAUAUAUUAUAUAUAUAUAAUAAUUAACCCUAAAACACUAUCACUAUAACACCAUCACUAACGCCGGGUGAUUUUUACCCAAUAUAAUAUACCCAACAAGAAGUACUUGGCAUCAAAAUAUAUCAAAAUAUGACAACACAUUAUCAAUUAGAGUGGCCAUCUUUUAUUUCCAACUGUGCCAUGUCAAACAAAAUGGAAAAAGAAGUGCCAUGGGGGACCCUAAAAAUUGCUCCAACAUUACUGAAAAAUUUUGAAUUUGAGAACAAAAAAUUCUUUAACAAAAAAAUAAUUAAUGGAAAAUUUUAAACUUCUCUGGUGAAGGCGCAGUCUCCUCGACAAGCGAACAGGUGCAGGAUAGAGAAACAAAAAAUUGUACUUUGUUGUAUUGGUGGGUAAAAACUAAGUGAAAUUCACCCAAAACCUGCUUUACCCUCUAUCACUAUUGCCAGGUGAAAAUCAUACAUGGCUGUAAAAAAAAAAAAAAAAAAAAAGAAAAGAAAGGAAAAGAACAAAAAAGAAAAGAAAAGAGAAAAAAGCAGGCUGUACCUUCAAAGACGUCAAAGACAAUGCUGAAGCUACCCAAGGACCCAUGACACUCAGACAAACGCAACAUAUUCAAAAUCAUUUAAAUAUAUUUGCUCAGGUGAAAAUCACCUGGUGUUGUUCUAGAGUUAAUUAAUAAUUAAUAAUAAAACCCUUUUUAAAAACAUAUAUUAAAUUAUAUAUCAUAAGAUAUAUAAUUUAAUAGAUAUUUAUAUACGUCCAGAGUAACAGCCGUAGACUGCAGUUUGCCGCCUGUCAGGUAGUCAGUAAUCCAGGGGAGCUGAACUCUGAGAGCAAACAGCCUGGUGACUGUAGCGUGCCGAGGGGCUCACGUGGAUCUGUGGCUGAAUCUGGAGCUGAGACUGGAGGUGUUCAACGAGGACUCCUACGAGGCAGCAGAGCUGAUGCGCUGAUCAUUAAUGGCCGAGGCUGCUCACACCAAAGUGAGUGGCAGGAUUCUCCAGUCCAGUGAGCACAGCUCCAUCAGCUGGUGGAGUUCAGUCAACACACCUGCUCUCAACAACCAGCAGUGUGCUCAAACAUCGGUUUCUCCUCCAUCCUGCACGAUGUUUUACACUCCAGAAGCAGUAAAUCAGGAUUACAUCACCUCUCUGUAGAAGGAAACUCUCCUAGUGUCCUUAAUUUGGAUUCUUGUGUCCUUCUCAGUUCCUUCCUGGUGUGUGUGCUGGACUGGAUCCUCUGGCUCUGUGCCAUCUUUUACUUAUAAUAAAAAUCAUUGAAACUUUU
Maylandia zebra (zebra mbuna) is the source of this 1341-nucleotide non-coding RNA. The record is from RefSeq and is a predicted model, not a curated record. Lineage: Eukaryota; Metazoa; Chordata; Actinopteri; Cichliformes; Cichlidae.